GUCGUACUCCCUCCGUUCGGAAUUACUUGUCUCGGAAAUGGAUGCAUCGAAUUACUUGUCUCGGAAAUGGAUGCAUCUAGAUACAUCCAUUUCCGAGACAAGUAAUUCCGAACGGAGGGAGUAGUAC
Molecule: non-coding RNA, 127 nt
Organism: Triticum aestivum (bread wheat)
Lineage: Eukaryota; Viridiplantae; Streptophyta; Magnoliopsida; Poales; Poaceae
Source: Rfam